Non-coding RNA from Xyrichtys novacula (pearly razorfish), 3220 nucleotides. The record is from the annotation of a GenBank genome assembly. Lineage: Eukaryota; Metazoa; Chordata; Actinopteri; Labriformes; Labridae.
CUGAUAUUGAUCCGAUAUUAGCACAAACUUGUGCAUGACAAGUUUUGCACCCAGCUGCAACGUCUUUUUCGGACUCACUCCUUCUCCUUGCUACUUUGUUAGUACCUUAGUACACACUGUUGUUGUGAUUACGUAGGCUCUGCCUCCUUGAUCAGGGCGCUGCUAACUAGAGGUGCAGAAGUGGAGUCUGGAGUGGACUGCUUGUAUCGGAGUGCUGAUAUCGGAGAUUUUAGAAGAAGCCGAUAUAAUCCGAUAUUCAAUUAUUUGCUGAUAUCAGACCGAUAUCCAAUAUCAAUAUCGUAUUGGGACACCCCUAAUCUAAGGCACAGUUUCCAUUAUACAGCCAUUUUUACACACACAUGCAAACUUUAAGACAGUUCUAUACUUUCAUCUCAGGCCCACCGAGGAUCCCCUCACCCACCGAGCCCUGGGUAGUCAGUCCCACUUCCCUUUUUACAUAAAUACCCAUACAUGAGCUGUAUUAAUUACACAUCAGAAUUUACAUCAGUAUCAUUUUGCUUCUGAUGAAGCUGUUUUUAAAAAAUCCCUUGUUAUGCAUGAUAUAGUUCAUUUAUUUUUUAUAUUGCCUGUAUUCUGCUCAUAUUUCAGUCGAGGAUGCAGAUCUGCUGCUGAGAGCCUCAAUCCCAGGAGAGCAGCGGAACCAUACCUUUAUUUUUCUCUGAUCAUCUGCCUCACUGUUUGACGUCCAAAGAUCCGUCACAUAAUACUGAUGGGGAUGUCCUUUUUACUGCAGCAAGCAGACAAUUUGACAGUGCAUGGAAGUGUUUUCUACCCUCUGCAACAUUCACUGUCUAUAUUCUCACUGCAUGCACACCCAGAAUUACUGGUCACUUGCAUUUCUUGGCAAGCAAAAGUCACAGAAGGUGCUCAGCAGAGGGUCUAUGGCGGGCCUGGUAUUUUACAUCCUGUCCAUCCACCCACUCACUCCAAAGGAAGCAGAGUUCACCAGUGACUGCACCUUUCUAUCCAGAUGAGUCAUUUCUAGCCUUUACUAUUGCCAUGGAAACACAGGAUUCGUCCACAUGAUUGACAGUGAGGCCAUUAUAGAAUAUCUGAAUCUGUUAGCUUUAAAGUUGAAAAACGUAUGUCUAUGUGCUCAGAGAGAAUUAGUCAGCUGCUCCACACUGACUCACACAGUCAAUAAUGACCAAGUGUAUUUUUCUGUACCAGAUUAAGCUAGCUAGUUUAAGCUAACAGUGUGUGUCCUGUAGCGUGUGCUAAAUGCUCUUUCCUCAGUGUUUGUUCAGCAGUGAGAGGAAACAAGCAACUGCAGAAAACACCCCAUGACGUGUGUGAACACUUUAAACUACUUUUCGAUCAAUAAGAUUUGAAAAGCAUGAUCAGCAUGAGUGUAUGAAUCAAAGUGCUGCAGAUGAAGGUCAACCUCUUUUUUUGGUUCAGUUGAUGAAAACGUUCAGUCAGCCCAGCACCUUCCUAUAACUAACAUCAGUCGUCAGAUAUGCAAAGAUAAAAAGUCAGUUUGAACAAGCUGAGCACCUUUUUUUUUUUUUUUUUUACAUUCUGUUUACCAAAAUCUCAAAAGUGUUUUGCCUCCUUUAUGUGCACAUGAAAGUGAUCUCAGAUGUAGCUUGUUUUCAAAUGCCUCAAAUAUGUGCUUAAGCGCACAUGAAUAAAUGAACUCAGUUGAUUUUUGCAUCUGGUUACAGGCUUCAUCUUCUUCUGCACUAUUUCUCUCUUGGUUGUUUUCUGGUUCCUGGUUAGUCCAUUGACAGCCUCCAGCCUCCACAUAGCCAAAGCGAUGGUUUCUGCACUUUCAUGUUGUUGUUUUUUUGUGUACACUGCUGCCAUAGUCAGCAGCUUUAAGCACAGAAACAUAUUCUUUUGAUCAUCUGUUGCUUAUCAAAGUAUUAUCGAGAGGCAGUCUGCUCCAAGCCUUGCAUUGUCUGAGUCUGAAUGUUAGAGUUAUAAUUUACUGUUGCAUGUAGAUAUACUUUCACAUUCUUUCGCAGCUUUUUUGAUAAUCUCCUCUGCGGUUGGUGCUAUAGGGCCCUGCACAUCAAAACAAUCGAACACUGGAGUGGCAUUUUCCCAGAUGCAGUCAAAGUCAUGGCCAGAGCAAUCAAUCAGGUAAUGUAGAAAAAAAACAAUACCUGCAACCCCAGGGUUGUCAAAAUAAAUCGAUUUUCAACUUUACAAUGAUUUCAGAAUACAAAACAACACUACACAUCUCUGCUAGAGCAAAGUGAAAUACAAGUCCCAGUUUCACGACAGCCUUUUUCAACUUGCUCUCACUAUGGGUGCAGACUAAAGGGAUAUUGGGUGGGUUCUUUAAAAACUGUAAAGUGUUUCUCAUUACUUAUGACCCAAUAAAGGAAAGUUGUGCCUGUAGAAACUCCUCUCUGGCCUGUUUUCAAAUCUUAUUUAUUUUGCAUGUAUUGACAUUUCUGCUACCUAGUCCAGCUGAGUUUGGCGCCACAGUCAGUGACAAAGACUAUUUUUGUCAGUGUUUGUGUAAAGACGGUCCACAGUGUGUAAUGUUUGAGAGUUACAGAGUGUGACAGAGGACACAGUCGUCGCCAGGUGAAUGUUGCUUUUGCUGCACACAAACACAUUUCAGCACCUUCCUGCAGGAUUAUAGCAUGAGCAUGUAAAUGUUAUUGUUUUUAAGAACAUAAAGGCUGUGAAACUUCAUUGUUGAUAAUCCUAAAAGAUCGGUGCCAUAAAUUCUUCCAUAUUUUGCUUUUAAGCUGUGUUGCUUUACACUAAUACAAGCUGUAUGAACACAUUUGCAGUCACUUGUAAUCGACAUAAAUGGACUUUGUCAAAAAAGUGAAUUCUCACUCUAUGUAGCUGUUAUUGUAGCCCGUUGCAGGCGACUGAUUUUCAGAGUUGAUACUGAUACUUAUUAUUAGUUGCUAAUGACUUUGAAAAAUUCUGUGAAAAUUUAGAAUUUGACACAUUACAAAUUCCAACAAGACUUUCUCUCAAUUAUAAAAGCAAAUCUACAAUCAAAACUAAAACCUUAGCAUAAAUGCAGGGGUACACAGCAAUAUGAUUACAUUUACAUCAUACAGUUUUGAUAUCUGACCAAUCAGAGAGUGUUUUGAGCGGGACAUGAGGAGAGGCAGAGUGACCCAGAGGCAAAGACACUGUCAGUAGAGACUAAGUAGUACAUCUUUUGUUUUAUUGAUCUAUUGGUCGUCUGUUAAAGAAAAAAACUGCUACACAUAAUGAAACA